UACGGACUGAGAUAAUGGUUAACAGAGACAAACGGGGGCAUUUGUAUGGUCCCGUGAGAGGUGAAAUUCUUGGACCGUGGCCAGACAAACUACAGCGAAAGCAUUUGCCAAGAAUGUUUUUAUUAAUCAAGAACGAAAGUCAGAGGUUCGAAGGCGAUCAGAUACCGCCCUAGUUCUGACCGUAAACGAUGCCAACUAGCGAUCCGCCGAUGGAAAUUAUAUUGCCUUGGUGGGGAGCUUCCCGGAAACGAAAGUCUUCCGGUUCCGGGGGAAGUAUGGUUGCAAAGCUGAAACUUAAAGGAAUUGACGGAAGGGCACCACCAGGAGUGGAGCCUGCGGCUUAAUUUGACUCAACACGGGGAAACUCACCCGGCCCGGACACUGUGAGGAUUGACAGAUUGAUAGCUUUUUCAUGAUUCAGUGGAUGGUGGUGCAUGGCCGUUCUUAGUUCGUGGAGUGAUUUGUCUGGUUUAUUCCGAUAACGAGCGAGACUCUAACCUACUAAAUAGUUGGUACAUACUCUUAGUGUAUACAGCUUCUUAGAGGGAUUUGCGGCGUUCAGCCGAAAGAAAUUGAGCAAUAACAGGUCUGUGAUGCCCUUAGAUGUCCGGGGCUGCACGCGCGCUACACUGGCAAUUUCAACGUGCUUGUCCUACCCUGAAAGGGGCGGGUAAACCAUUGAAAAUUUGCCGUGAUUGGGAUCGGAAAUUGCAAUUAUUUUCCGUGAACGAGGAAUUCCAAGUAAGUGCGAGUCAUCAGCUCGCGUUGAUUACGUCCCUGCCCUUUGUACACACCGCCCGUCGCUGCCCGGGACUGAGCCAUUUCGAGAAAUUUGGGGACCGUUGAUUUAAUUUUUCUAAAUUACUUUGAUGGAAACCAAUUUAAUCGCAGUGGCUUGAACC
This 902-nucleotide ribosomal RNA is filed under the name Meloidogyne incognita (southern root-knot nematode). RNAcentral's name for it is "SSU rRNA". It matches the Rfam family "Eukaryotic small subunit ribosomal RNA", at positions 851 to 1779 of the family's 1831-position model. The record is from RNAcentral. Lineage: Eukaryota; Metazoa; Nematoda; Chromadorea; Rhabditida; Meloidogynidae.